This is a non-coding RNA of Zopfia rhizophila CBS 207.26, 101 nucleotides long. NCBI's taxonomy places the organism in Eukaryota, Fungi, Ascomycota, Dothideomycetes, Zopfiaceae. The record is from the annotation of a GenBank genome assembly.
GACACGAUGGCCGAGCGGUCUAAGGCGGUAGAUUUAAGUACUUGUUGACUCUUAAAUCUCUACUGGGGCAACCCGCGUGAGUUCGAACCUCACUCGUGUCA